AGAGUUUGAUCAUGGCUCAGAUUGAACGCUGGCGGCAGGCCUAACACAUGCAAGUCGAAUGGUAGCACAGAGGAGCUUGCUCCUUGGGUGACGAGUGGCGGACGGGUGAGUAAUGUCUGGGAGACUGCCCGAUGGAGGGGGAUAACUACUGGAAACGGUAGCUAAUACCGCAUAACGUCGCAAGGCCAAAGAGGGGGACCUUCGGGCCUCUUGCCAUCGGAUGUGCCCAGAUGGGAUUAGCUAGUAGGUGGGGUAACGGCUCACCUAGGCGACGAUCCCUAGCUGGUCUGAGAGGAUGACCAGCCACACUGGAACUGAGACACGGUCCAGACUCCUACGGGAGGCAGCAGUGGGGAAUCUUCGGCAAUGGACGAAAGUCUGACCGAGCAACGCCGCGUGUAUGAAGAAGGCCUUCGGGUUGUAAAGUACUUUCAGCGAGGAGGAAGGCGUUGUGGUUAAUAACCGCAACGAUCGACGUUACUCGCAGAAGAAGCACCGGCUAACUCCGUGCCAGCAGCCGCGGUAAUUC
RNAcentral lists this ribosomal RNA (529 nucleotides) under uncultured bacterium. RNAcentral's name for it is "bacterial SSU rRNA". It matches the Rfam family "Bacterial small subunit ribosomal RNA", at positions 8 to 526 of the family's 1533-position model. The record is from RNAcentral.